UCUGCACCCCUGUGCUCCUCCCAGAACCACAGGGCUCACUUGGGCUAACGGCCCGUUCCCUGCAGACCAGGACUCUACGCGGCCAAGGAGCAGCCCUGGUGCCCCCUGCACACAGACUGAGAUCAUGAAAUCAUUGUGGGCAGCAAAUAACACUAGCUUCUAAAGAUGUGCUCUGGACACGAGUUCAAGCAUCUCCCAUCUGUUUCCUCUUGCCUCUGCUUAUAAACAAAGGUACACUUUUGCUUUGUAGGUACAAUUAUGAUGGGUGAUUUUUCUUUUUUGUAAAAGCAAAGUUCCUUUUAAUAUUUUAUAUUGUUAGGCUAACAGAUAUGUUUAUUUUCACUUAAUUUUCAGUCAUUGGUGCUUUCCUUCAGCUGGGACUCUGCUCAGGAGUGGCCUUGAACAGUGACAAUGGCUGAGAGUUCAGUCAACUUCAGAACAUCUCAGCUGUGCAUGUCAUAUCGUGUCACCCUCUUACUGAUGGAACCACAACAAAGUUUGUUCUACAGCUGAAUUGAAGGGUUGAGAGAGUUCAAGACUUGUCAGUGAGUUUCCAAAAGGUCUCUGAGCCUGGGGCUGGACCCAGCACUGCUGCAAGCAGGGGUGCUCAGGAUGGGACCAUUUGCCUGCA
Molecule: long non-coding RNA, 631 nt
Filed under: Dasypus novemcinctus (nine-banded armadillo)
Lineage: Eukaryota; Metazoa; Chordata; Mammalia; Cingulata; Dasypodidae
Description: lncRNA (ENSDNOG00000050279.1)
Source: RNAcentral